RNAcentral lists this ribosomal RNA (440 nucleotides) under uncultured bacterium. Its description in RNAcentral is "partial 16S ribosomal RNA". It matches the Rfam family "Bacterial small subunit ribosomal RNA", at positions 338 to 795 of the family's 1533-position model. The record is from RNAcentral.
CCUACGGGAGGCAGCAGUAGGGAAUAUUGCUCAAUGGGGGAAACCCUGAAGCAGCAACGCCGCGUGGAGGAUGAAGGUUUUCGGAUUGUAAACUCCUUUUGUUAGAGAAGAUAAUGACGGUAUCUAACGAAUAAGCACCGGCUAACUCCGUGCCAGCAGCCGCGGUAAUACGGAGGGUGCAAGCGUUACUCGGAAUCACUGGGCGUAAAGAGCGCGUAGGCGGGAUAGCAAGUCAGAUGUGAAAUCCUAUGGCUUAACCAUAGAACUGCAUUUGAAACUGUUAUUCUAGAGUAUGGGGGAGGUAGGUGGAAUUCUUGGUGUAGGGGUAAAAUCCGUAGAGAUCAAGAAGAAUACUCAUUGCGAAGGCGACCUGCUAGAACAUAACUGACGCUGAUGCGCGAAGGCGUGGGGAGCGAACAGGAUUAGAUACCCUAGUAGUC